CCGAUAUAUUAUGCAUCGUUCCUUGAAUCGAACUGCGAGGCGACUCGAACCUCUCGCCGUUCCCCACUCCCGUCAUCCCCUUCCCGACUCGAGUCACCCAAGGCAGUUGAGCUGGUCUUCGCCUCCGGCCGCAACUCCUCCUCGUCGGCAACAACCGCUUGAUGAUCUGAACUCCUCAGUCCUCCCUCGCAGCACUCCCCGGCAUUACGACGACUACCUGAACCUCCUCAGGUCCUUCGUCUCCCGGAAGGCGUUAGAGCCCGGGAAGCAGCUCCACGCCCGCCUCCUCCUCUCCGGCCUCGGCUACAACACCAUCUUGGCCACCAAGCUCGUCGAUCUGUACUGCCUGUGCGACCAUGUGACUUAUGCGCACAAGCUGUUUGACAGAAUUACUAAGAGAAACUUGUUUCUGUGGAACGUCCUCAUCCGAGCUUACGCUUGGACUGGGCCCCACGAGGUCGCCCUCUCGUUGUAUUACCAGAUGCUCGACUGCGGCGUCGCGCCUGAUAACUUCACGUUCCCGUUCGUCCUCAAGGCCUGCUCCGCCCUCUCCGCGCUCGAGGCCGGGCGGGGGAUCCACGAGCUGGUGGUAAGCACCGGCUGGGAAACGGACGUGUUCGUGGGUGCCGCCCUGAUCGACAUGUACGCCAAGUGCGGGUGCGUCGACCAUGCUCGAGAAUUGUUCGACAGGAUUCCGAACCGAGAUGUCGUGCUUUGGAACUCCAUGAUCGCCGCCUACGCUCAGAACGGGCAUCCGUCGGAGGCGCUCCUUCUGUGCCGUGAUAUGGUGGCGCGUGGGUUCACGCCGACUCUCGCUACUCUUGUGACCGUGAUCUCCGCUUCGGCCGAUGCGGCGGCUCUGCCGAGAGGGCGGGAGAUUCACGGAUUGAGUUGGAGGCGCGGGUUUGAUUCCCAAGACAAGGUGAAGACCGCGCUCGUGGAUAUGUACGCCAAGAGCGGCUGGGUGAAGGUUGCUCGUGUGCUCUUCGAGCAGCUCGCAGAGAAAAGGAUUGUUUCCUGGAACUCCAUGAUCUGCGGGUACGGCAUGCACGGCCAUGCGGACGAAGCCCUUGCCCUGUUCGACAGAAUGAGGGAUGAGGAUCAAGUGCUUCCUGAUCACAUUACUUUCGUCGGCCUCCUCUCCGCUUGCAACCAUGGAGGUCUGGUAGAUGAAGGGAGGAGCUUCUUCAACUCGAUGUUGAGCGAUUACCGCAUUCCACCGGCGGUGCAGCAUUACACUUGCAUGAUAGAUCUCCUUGGCCACUCCGGCAGACUAGCCGAAGCAUACAAGCUCAUCCAAGACAUGACAAUGGCCGCCGACUCUGGAGUAUGGGGUGCUUUGCUGAACGCCUGCAAGAUCCACCGGAAUGUGGAAUUAGGGGAGCUGGCACUGCAAAAGCUGAUCGAACUGGAGCCCGACGACGCAGGGAACUACGUUCUUCUAUCGAACAUAUACGCACAAGCCGGGAAGUGGCAGGAAGCCGCCGAGGUGAGGAAGCUGAUGACCGACAGAGGCCUGAAGAAGAGCAUUGCCUGUAGCUGGAUCGAAGUGAAGAACCAGGUCCACGCGUUCCUCGUCGGCGAUCUGUCGCAUCCCAGCUCGGGGGCGAUAUACGCAGAGCUGGAAAGGUUGGAAGGGCUCAUGGCGGAGGCUGGAUACGAGCCGGACACGAUGCCCGUCUUCCACGACGUGGGCGACGACGAGAAGAGGAACAUGGUUCGCAGCCAUAGCGAGAGGCUGGCCAUCGCAUUUGGACUCAUCAGCACGCCGCCGGGGACGACGCUGUUGGUGACGAAGAACCUGAGAGUCUGCGAGGACUGUCACACGGCCAUCAAGUUCAUUUCGGCGAUUGUUGGCAGAGAAAUCAUAGUAAGAGAUGUGAAUCGAUACCACCAUUUCAAGGACGGCGAGUGUUCCUGUCGAGAUUAUUGGUAGCCUGCGAACCCAACAAUUGCUGCUGUAUUUUGCCUAUGUGAGUUGGACACCGCUAUUUAUAAUUUACGUGUACUGAUCAUUCUUUGAUGCUUGUGGUAAGAGACACGUGAGGCUCACGUGAUAUUCCGUGAUUUGAUUUAAAUUGGGCUCAUUGGAGGCUCAGUUUGUCUUGAUGGACCUACAAAUUGCGAUUCUCUCACUCCUCCGGGCGCGUCAUCCGUUCCGCGAUGGCCGCCCUUUUCUUCGCCGCCCGUCUCCUCCUCCUCCCUGCUUCUUCCUUCGGGGUUCCCAUCGCUCCCUCUCUCUCCUCUCUUUCAUUUCAUCUCCAUGUUUUCUUUUAUUAACUUGACUUCCUUUCAAGGUUCCCAUCUUACUCUGCGCCAAAGGCAGGCGCAACGAGCUCUCCUGCUCUGCAAAGCCGCCGCCGCAUCUGCUACCUCCCUUCCUGCGACUUCGGGCUCAAUGAUCAUAGUAUCGACGCGGAUAAGGCCUACAGGGGAAGAAGUGGAGGUCCGGGCCCAGCGUUAGGCGCAUCCCCAAACAUCUCAGCAUUGCUGGAGGAGGUAUACCAAAAGACAUGAUUGGAACUCUGCAUCUCGUGGGAGAAAUUCUUUUACAAAGAGGCUUUUGAGCAUUCAAAGCUCCAUUGCAGCUUGAUUACUACACGUAUCAUGAAGGCUACUGGUAACUGUUAGGACAUAAGACCAUGAGAAAUAACUACUGUUGGUGGUACCAAGCUCAGGUUCUUUAUCAGAUUAACCAUCAGGACACAGAUGGGGACAGCUGCAGCAAAGCUGAAUCUACGUUACGGUCCAGCAGAGUUCCAAGACUUGUCGGGUCAUCCUCCUCUUCUAGUUUCCCUCUCUCACUAUCUCCUCUUAUCUACAUUUAUUGUUCUUUUAUUUUUUUUAAUCUCAAUGUGCAGUAUAAUUUAGUCAUGCCUAUCUCUGAAAAUUUCCAACUCCAGCAGUUAAAACUCCCAGAGAUUGGAGCAUCCGUAAAUGUUCUUGGUAUGAACUAGAUGUUCAAUGGUCGGAUUUAUUUAAAUCAGAUACAAGCUGUGGGCAAGAGGGAACUUUCCUUUAUAAAUAUUUUAAUAAGCAUAUGUAAAGUUCGAUAUGCAGUGGUUGCCACAAGUGAUAUGACCACUCAAUUUCUAAAUAUUUAGUUGUGUUAAAAGUGAUGCAUGUCCCGUUACAACUGAGCUAAUUGUUUAGUUAGAUUAAGAUAGUCUGAGAAAGAAAGUUUUCUUCUGAUGAUGUGAAUAUUUGCAUGGAAAAAAAAAAGCCUUUCAAGUAUUUUUCA
Musa acuminata AAA Group (dessert banana) is the source of this 3241-nucleotide RNA transcript. It is a transcript of the gene named 3-ketoacyl-CoA synthase 6-like, with no coding region annotated. The transcript is spliced from 3 exons. The record is from RefSeq and is a predicted model, not a curated record. NCBI's taxonomy places the organism in Eukaryota, Viridiplantae, Streptophyta, Magnoliopsida, Zingiberales, Musaceae.